GAUCAGUGUAAACCCAUGUCUCUCUUGUAUGUCUCUGUGGUCAGAAAGUUUCAGAGUUUGAUGGGCUGUCUUAGAAAAGUGAAUUGUCUCUAUAUAUAUGUGUAUGUGUGUUGCAUUUUGUAUUUAUAUGUAGAUAUGUAUCAUUAAUUAUUGUCCCUGCAAUUAAUUUGGUGAUGGGUUUCUAUGUUUGGUUACUAAAUAUGGCUGCUGCUGCUGCUUUUUCUCUGAAGCUAUUGCUGGAUAUUAGUUAGGCAGAGUUUGCAGGAGAUGGGCAGUGACAAAACAAUAAUUAUAAAAUCGUGUUUUCUUUAUAUCAUUGUGAUGUCUAUAUUAGCAAAAAGAGAAGAGCUUCUUUUUUUCAUCUUGGGGCGAUUGAAAAAGGUAUGAUCUGUUGUCACAUAUAUUUUCUGAUGCACUAGUUAAUUAAUAAGUCCCUAUAUUAGCAAAAGCUAAAGGCUAUAAAAUUAGGAAAAUUUAAAUAACAUUUUUAUUUUGUGGUCAGUUAUGCUUUGUGUUUUGGGUUUCUCUUUGCGUCUC
Long non-coding RNA from Arabidopsis thaliana (thale cress), 537 nucleotides. RefSeq annotates it as other RNA. The transcript has a single exon. Lineage: Eukaryota; Viridiplantae; Streptophyta; Magnoliopsida; Brassicales; Brassicaceae. The record is from RefSeq.